GAUGAACGCUGGCGGCGUGCCUAACACAUGCAAGUCGAACGGAGAUUCCGGACGAGAGUUUUUGGAUGGAAGCCUGUAAUUCUUAGUGGCCGACGGGGGAGUAACGCCGUGGCUACCUGCCCUAUACCGUGGGGUAGGCGCCGGAAACGGCUGGUAAGUACGCAAUAAUCGCUUAAUUCGCCUGGUCUUAUCGGGCAAUAAGCAAUUAGGUUUAGGAUGGGUCCGCGUCCGAUUAGCCAGUUGGCAGGGUAAAAGCCUACCAAAGCGACGAUCGGUAGCCGGACUGAGAGGUCGGACGGCCACAUUGGAACUGAGACACGGCCCAAACUCCUACGGGAGGCAGCAGUGGGGGAUAUUGCACAAUGGAGGAAACUCUGAUGCAGCGACGCCGCGUGAGUGAAGAAGUAUUUCGGUAUGUAAAGCUCUAUCAGCAGGGAAGAUGAUGACGGUACCUGAAGAAGAAGCCCCGGCUAACUACGUG
This 481-nucleotide ribosomal RNA is filed under the name uncultured bacterium. Its description in RNAcentral is "partial 16S ribosomal RNA". It matches the Rfam family "Bacterial small subunit ribosomal RNA", at positions 28 to 507 of the family's 1533-position model. The record is from RNAcentral.